Molecule: ribosomal RNA, 829 nt
Filed under: uncultured bacterium
Lineage: Bacteria
Description: bacterial SSU rRNA
Rfam family: Bacterial small subunit ribosomal RNA
Source: RNAcentral
GAGUUUGAUCCUGGCUCAGGAUCAACGCUGGCGGCGUGCCUAAUGCAUGCAAGUCGAACGGGGCGUCCUUCGGGGCGUUUACGUGGCGGACGGGUGAGGAACACGUGGGAAAUCUGCCGCCCGCAGGGGGGUAGCCGUCGGAAACGGCGGGUAAUUCCGCAUGCGGUCACGACCCGAGUGGGGGUAGUGACGAAAGGGGAUCUUCGGAUUCCCGGCGGGCGAGGAUCCUGCGUCCGAUUAGCUUGUUGGUGGGGUAACGGCCUACCAAGGCGAUGAUCGGUAGCUGGUCUGAGAGGAUGAUCAGCCACACGGGGACUGAGACACGGCCCCGACUCCUACGGGAGGCAGCAGCAAGGAAUUUUCCGCAAUGGGCGAAAGCCUGACGGAGCAACGCCGCGUGCGGGAUGACGCCUUUCGGGGUGUAAACCGCUGUUCGUGGGGACGAAGCACUGACGGUACCCACGGAGGAAGGCCCGGCUAACUACGUGCCAGCAGCCGCGGUAAUACGUAGGGGCCGAGCGUUGUCCGGAGUUACUGGGCGUAAAGCGUGCGCAGGCGGUCUGUCGCGCCCGGCGUGAAAGCCCCCGGCUCAACCGGGGAGGGUCGUCGGGGACGGGCAGACUUGAGGGUGUCAGGGGCUGGUGGAAUUCCCGGUGUAGUGGUGAAAUGCGUAGAGAUCGGGAGGAACACCCGUGGCGAAGGCGGCCAGCUGGGACACACCUGACGCUGAGGCACGAAGGCGUGGGGAGCGAACGGGAUUAGAUACCCCGGUAGCCCACGCAGUAAACGAUGCAGACUAGGCGUGGGGGGACUUGACCCCCUCCGUGCC